AGUGAACGCUGGCGGUAGGCCUAACACAUGCAAGUCGAACGGCAGCACAGUAAGAGCUUGCUCUUACGGGUGGCGAGUGGCGGACGGGUGAGGAAUACAUCGGAAUCUACUUUUUCGUGGGGGAUAACGUAGGGAAACUUACGCUAAUACCGCAUACGACCUACGGGUGAAAGCAGUGGAUCUUCGGACCUUGCGCGAUUGAAUGAGCCGAUGUCGGAUUAGCUAGUUGGCGGGGUAAAGGCCCACCAAGGCGACGAUCCGUAGCUGGUCUGAGAGGAUGAUCAGCCACACUGGAACUGAGACACGGUCCAGACUCCUACGGGAGGCAGCAGUGGGGAAUAUUGGACAAUGGGCGCAAGCCUGAUCCAGCCAUACCGCGUUGGUGAAGAAGGCCUUCGGGUUGUAAAGCCCUUUUGUUGGGAAAGAAAAGCAGCAGGUUAAUACCCCGCUGUUCUGACGGUACCCAAAGAAUAAGCACCGGCUAACUUCGU
This 491-nucleotide ribosomal RNA is filed under the name uncultured bacterium. RNAcentral's name for it is "partial 16S ribosomal RNA". It matches the Rfam family "Bacterial small subunit ribosomal RNA", at positions 29 to 506 of the family's 1533-position model. The record is from RNAcentral.